Molecule: ribosomal RNA, 424 nt
Filed under: uncultured bacterium
Lineage: Bacteria
Description: bacterial SSU rRNA
Rfam family: Bacterial small subunit ribosomal RNA
Source: RNAcentral
GGAAUAUUGGGCAAUGGGCGCAAGCCUGACCCAGCGACGCCGCGUGCGGGAGGACGCCUUUCGGGGUGUAAACCGCUGUCAGAGGGGACGAACGGACCAGGGGGGAAUCCCUUCUGGGCUUGACGGUACCCUCACAGGAAGCGCCGGCUAACUCCGUGCCAGCAGCCGCGGUAAGACGGAGGGCGCAAGCGUUGUUCGGAAUCACUGGGCGUAAAGCGCGCGCAGGCGGGCGGGCAAGUCGGAAGUGAAAUCCCGGGGCUCAACUCCGGGGCUGCUCCCGAAACUGCACGUCUGGAGACCGGUAGGGGUGGGUGGAAUUCCCGGUGUAGCGGUGGAAUGCGUAGAUAUCGGGAAGAACACCUGUGGCGAAGGCGGCCCACUGGGCCGGAUCUGACGCUGAGGCGCGAAAGCGUGGGGAGCAAAC